GGAUUACAGGCAUGAGCUACCGCCCCAGCUAGUCCUUCUCGUUUAAAGGUCUGGCACACAGAGUCAGCUGGGCUUUAAACUGGUGCUCCUCUAGACCCUGGAGAAAAUGCCAAUAUCAGUCACCGUCUCAAACACCAUCAGAAAAAAGUCCUGAGAGAUAAUCGGUUGAAAAAAUGAAUAUUAGAAGAGGUUUUGAAUCCCACAUGCAAUUUCUCAGGCAAGUAAACAGUUCAUUCUUGCGUGGUGACAUUAAUGAUGUUAAUGUCAAAUGAAAGGCAGUUGGAAACCGUAGGGUGUUCUAGAACAAUUAGGUACUUUAAUCCAUCAAAACAAAGAAGAAGAAAGUAUAAACAGUCAAAUUCCUAGCUUAUUGGCUCCUAAGAUUCCUAAUAGCCAGUGGGAGUGGAGAGGAAAGAUUCCUCAAGUGGAUCCAGAUCCUACAAUGAUAUUCCUAAGAGCAUGAAAAGUCAGCCUGCAUCCUUGUUCUCACCAUGUCAAUGGGAUGUCGCCACCACCCAAAUACCACAGGAAUGGCUUGAUUUAUUCUUUCCCCUGGGUCAUCCCUUAAAAAACAGAUUAAUGUUCAAAUUAGGAACAACUUAAACAUUCAGGUGUGACGUUAGCAUUUGGUCACAUAUUUGCUUGGGCUGUUUCUGCCAUAGGUAAUCAAUCCGAUGGUAUUAGAACCCAGCUUUGGUUCCCGUUCAGUCUGGGCUCCAUUUAAACAGAGUUUCUCAUUCAUUCAUGCCCAGCCCUGAUUCUUUCAUCAGUCAGUUUUUCUGUGGCUUAUGUAGGUAUGGUGCAACCUUAGGCCAUCCCAGAUAAUUGACUGAUGGACAAUAGUGAUGACUUGUCACUCUCAGCUGUGAUCCACAUUCAUAAAGUGGCUUAUCGGAUAUUUCCUUAUCAAAUCUUUACAAAAACCUGAAGAGGCCGGUAUUAUUACUAGCUCUAUUUUGUAGAUGGGAUGCCAGCCUAUAUGUCAGACAGACCAAGUUUCAAAUCCUGGCUCACUCUCUCACUGUGUGACCUUGGGAAAGUUACUUAACCUCUCUGUGCCUCUGUUCUGUUAUCUCAAAUUCAUGAUGUCUACAUCGUCCUUGUGAUCCACAUAGCCCUUUUCUGGUGUAUUACUUUGCCAUCCCAGGCUCUGGGAUAGAGCAGGACACAGUGAGAAGGCACCGUCUAUGAACCAGGAAGCAGGCCCUUGCCAGACAUCAAAUCUGCCAGCCCCUGCAUCUUGGACUUUCCAGCCUCCUGAACAAAAUAUCUGUUGCAUAUUUAUCUGCUGAGAAAUAAAUAUCUGUUGUUUAAGCCA
Molecule: long non-coding RNA, 1318 nt
Organism: Cebus imitator (Panamanian white-faced capuchin)
Lineage: Eukaryota; Metazoa; Chordata; Mammalia; Primates; Cebidae
Exons: 2
Source: RefSeq, a predicted model, not a curated record